UACAGAGGUGGCAAGCGUUGUUCGGAUUUACUGGGCGUAAAGCGCCCGUAGGCGGCUUACCAAGUUGGAUGUGAAAGCUCCCGGCUUAACUGGGAGAGGUCAUUCAAAACUGUUAGGCUAGAGGAUGGAAGAGGAGAGCGGAAUUCCCGGUGUAGUGGUGGAAUGCGUAGAGAUCGGGAGGAACACCAGUGGCGAAAGCGGCUCUCUGGUUCACACCUGACGCUGAGGGGCGAAAGCGUGGGGAGCGAACGGG
Molecule: ribosomal RNA, 253 nt
Filed under: uncultured bacterium
Lineage: Bacteria
Description: partial 16S ribosomal RNA
Rfam family: Bacterial small subunit ribosomal RNA
Source: RNAcentral